UAAAGCCCUUUCAGUGGGAACGAUGAUGACGGUACCCACAGAAGAAGCCCCGGCUAACUCCGUGCCAGCAGCCGCGGUAAUACGGAGGGGGCGAGCGUUGUUCGGAAUUAUUGGGCGUAAAGCGCGCGUAGGCGGCUUGUUAAGUCAGAAGUGAAAGCCCCGGGCUUAACCCGGGAACUGCUUUUGAAACUGGCAGGCUUGAGUCCGGCAGAGGGUGGUGGAAUUCCCCGUGUAGAGGUGAAAUUCGUAGAUAUGGGGAGGAAGACC
This 267-nucleotide ribosomal RNA is filed under the name magnetic coccus MP17. RNAcentral describes it as "partial 16S rRNA". It matches the Rfam family "Bacterial small subunit ribosomal RNA", at positions 426 to 710 of the family's 1533-position model. Lineage: Bacteria; Pseudomonadati; Pseudomonadota; Alphaproteobacteria. The record is from RNAcentral.